UACUAGAGUAGCACUCGCAUAUCAAUAAGCGGAGGAAAAGAAACUAACAAGGAUUCCCCUAGUAACGGCGGAGUGAAGCGGGAAGGAGCUCAAAUUCGAAAUCUUAAAGGGUUUCCCUUUACGAAUUGUAGUUUAAAGAAGUGUUUUCUGUUGAGGUUUUGGUAAAAGUUCUUUGGAAUAGGACAUCAUAGAGGGUGAGAAUCCCGUAUUUGACCUUUACUUUCAACUUUGUGAUACACUUUCAAAGAGUCGGAUUGUUUGGGAAUGCAGUCCAAAAUGGGUGGUAAAUUUCAUCUAAAGCUAAAUAUUGGCGAGAGACCGAUAGCGAACAAGUACCGUGAGGGAAAGAUGAAAAGAACUUUGAAAAGAGAGUUAAACAGUACGUGAAAUUGUCAAAAGGGAAGCGUUUGACACCAGUGUUGUUUUUCUGAAAAUCAAUUAAAGAACUGUUUAUGCUAAGCUUGUUUAGACUUUAUCAGCUAUCUGCUUUAGUUUUGAGCUUUUCUUUAAUGCACUUUUCAGUUAACAAGUCAACAUCAAUUUCUUUUGCUGUAAAAAAGCUUGAGGAAGGUGGCUUGAGAUUCGUCUUAAGUGUUUAUAGCCUCUUGCCUAUGCAGUCGGAGAGAUUGAGGUCUGCAGCGUAGAUCCUUCGGGGCUAAAUGCAUUUGUGCUAAGUUAUAGCAUUUUAUAGACAACUUGUUGACUAUGAUUUGUCUUGUAGCUUACUCGCUUAUGUUAUUUUACCUACGCUUAGGAUGUUGAUCUACAGAGCGAGAGU
Molecule: ribosomal RNA, 778 nt
Filed under: uncultured Neocallimastigales
Lineage: Eukaryota; Fungi; Neocallimastigomycota; Neocallimastigomycetes; Neocallimastigales
Description: partial large subunit ribosomal RNA
Rfam family: Eukaryotic large subunit ribosomal RNA
Source: RNAcentral